This is a long non-coding RNA of Homo sapiens (human), 1980 nucleotides long. Ensembl annotates it as TRHDE antisense RNA 1. Its record names the gene TRHDE-AS1. NCBI's taxonomy places the organism in Eukaryota, Metazoa, Chordata, Mammalia, Primates, Hominidae. The record is from Ensembl.
ACAGCGAGCAUUGUGACCGCGAGCAAUGCCACGAGGGACACAGCGAAGGCCAGCACAAGCCGCUUGUGUACGGCGAUGUGGCGCUCCGUGGUGCGGGGUCGCACUCCCACUGAGUCUGCCCACGGGUCGGAGAGCCCCCUGCUGCCAGCCCGAAGCGCGGCGUCGUCUUCCCCCAUCGCGGCUGCGAAGGCGGCGGCGUUCGGUCCUCUGGGUGGAAUGUGCUCGCAGCAGCAGUGACGGCGGCCACAGCACGGGAGGCACCCGAGCCAUACACCCUGCAGCUGGAGAGAAAAGGAUGGCCGAGGUGGGAGAGACUAGAGUGAACCAGCAGGAGGAAGUCCCAGGGCCGCGAAGCUACGACGGAGAUCCGUCCUGGAAAAGCCUUCUCCACCCUGGGCACUUUAAGCGGCGGUGGCGGCAAACGGCAGGAGGUUGCAGACCCGACAGCGAGACUCCCUCAUUCCAGUCUUGCUCUGCCCUCCGGAGAUGACAAGUGAGAAAGAAGUGUCCGGCCGGGCCAUCCCCUUCAGUUACCAAGAAUAACUGUAAAAUGUGCUGGGAAUGCAAUGUCCUGAGAUAAGGAAGAACUGCCUGAAACAGCCUGGAUCUUAUUCCUGUACUUCCUAGGGAAUGUAACAUCUCAAGUUAAAGAGGAACUGCCCGGAACAGCCCGGGGAUUGUUCCUCUCUCCUGAGAAGGAAGAUUACCUCCAAAGCUCAUCCACUGAGUCACACUGCCCCUGUGGUGGAGGGCGGGCUGCCUUUCCAGGUUCCUCAGCUGUGGUGUAACUGAAGCAGGCACAAUCAAGACUCCAUCUGCUCGAGGCAGCUUUCUCGAACCUUGGGGAACCUACUCACAAUGGAUCACAGGCUUCUUUUGUUUUGUUUCUUGCUGCCUAUCUUGGGAAGCAAAAAUCAGCUGAGUGAAGAUGAGGAAGAAGGUGUUAAAGGUUUGAAGAAAAAAGGAAAAGGAUAUACUAAUCUAAGAGGACAAGUAAGUAGAACAUAGAUAAUGAAAAUGCUGGCCCUUAGGACUGUUGGGCCUAAAUGCUCAUAUUAUAUUGGUAGUCACAAAUUUGAACUUUCUCUAGAGCCAAUUUUUGCAUGUGUGUGCAGGCCUGGAGUAGUUGGAGAGUUGGAUUUAAUAGAAUUGAGGGUCAAGCAACUACAACCAGGGAAGAGUGGGACAAGGGAGAUAAAGGAUAUUGGCAGGGGAGCAAUUAUAAACAUGGACCAUGAUCAAAACUGGACAGGAAGGAAAAUAGAGAUAAGAGGGGUGGAAGGUUAAAAAUAGUGAAAAUGAGAUAGAAUGAAUAGGUUGUAGGUCCCUGUAAAGUUGAAGAAGUAUUAUUAUGCAGUACUCGUUAUUGAAAUGAGGUCACUAUGCUUAAGGCACAGUGAAUCCUAGAAAAUAGUGGUUUUGUUUCUCAUUAGGCAAUACAUUCCUCCUUGCUCCAGAAUGCAACAUACAUGUAUCCUUUUCUGUACUAUUUUUUAUUAAGAAUUCAUACUUAAUUCCACUGACUGCCACUCAAUUUUAAUGUACAGUAGGGAAUUCCUGUACUAUGUAUUAUGAAUCCAUUCCUUUGAAUUUCAUUUAUAAUACUUCAUGACUGACACCUGGCUUUCCACCAAGACUCAAUUUUCAUAGCAAGCCUCAUCAUCAUAAGCCCCCAAAUUAACAGGAUGAGGAGGAAGAAUUGGCAGGCUAAAGAAGAUGAUUAUAUCAAUUAAUGCAGAAAAAGCAUUUGAUAAAAUCCAAUAUUCAUUUGUAAUUAAAAACUCUCAGCAAGUUAGGGAUAGGAAUUACUUCAACUUAAUGAAGAGUGUCUUUAAAAACCUUAUUUUCAUCAGUUAUAACAAAUGUACCACUCUGGUGGUGAAUGUUGCUAAGGAGGGAAGCUAUACAUGUGUGGGGAAAGGAGAUGUGUGAGCAAUUUCUGUACCUUCUACUCAAUCUUCUGUGAGACUAAAAUUGCUG